CACCUGCAGCCCGGUUGGGGGAUCCACUAGGUGAAGCCAGCUGGGCUCCUGAGUCUAGUGGGGAUUUGGAGAACCUUUGUGUCUAGCUAAGGGACUGUAAAUACACCAAUCAGCACUCUGUGUCUGGCUCAAGGUUUGUAAAGGCACCAAUCAGUGCUCUGUGUCUAGCUAAUCUAGUGGGGACUUGGAGAACUUUUGUGUCUAGCUCAGGGAUUGUAAACGCACCAAUCAGCACCCUGCAAAACGGACCAAUCAGCUCUCUGUAAAACAGACCAAUCAGCUCUCUGCAAAAUGGACCAAUCAGCAAGAUGUGGGUGGGGCCAGAUAAGGGAAUAAAAGCAGGCUGCUGGAGCCAGUAAUGUUGACACCCUCGGGUUGUCUUCUGUGGUGUGGAGGCUUUGUUCUUUUGUUCUUUGUGAUAGAUCUAAUUGCUGCUCACUCUUUGGGUCUGUACUGCGUUUAUGAGCUGUGACACUCGCCGUGAAGGUCUGCAGCUUCACUCCUGAACCAGCGAGAGGAGGAACCCACCAGAAGGAGGAAAACGCGGAACACAUCUGAAUAUCAGAAGGAACAAACUCCAGACACGCCGCCUUUAAGAACUGUAACAGUCACCGCGAGGGUCCGUGGUUUCAUUCUUGAAGUAAGUGAGACCAAGAACCUGCCAAUUUCAGACACAAUGGAGAGCGCCAGUCCUGCUGCGGGGCCAUACAUCUAUUUAAUUUCCUCUCAUCUUCCCCCCGGUUCCGAGAGGAAGGUGCUUUCACCUGCACUGUUCCCAUGAGGAAACGAGGCUUCAGGAAUCUGAUAAAGCUUCCAAACUCCCGUGGCUGGCAGGAACCAAGGUUUCGAUGGCCGGACUUCUCAGCCCCCCAGGUGGAAAAGCAGGAGGCAUGACAGAUGAGGGUGAGAGUGCAUGCCAGGUCAGGCUGAGAAGGCGACAAUGCCAUAUGGUUUUUUCCACUUAGCUUAGCUCCAGGAUGACUUUGAACAGUGUUACAGCCCCAUGGGCAGAAAAUUGCACUUGCCUCAAGCUUCAUUAAAGCAAAUCGAGUCAGAAGGGAUUGAAACACCUGGAAGAAAUGCAAUGGAUUCAAACAGGGAAAAGGUGUGGGUCCGUCCCUUUUCCUGGUAAAUCCAGCAGCCUAGGAGAUGUCAGAAAAACAUUCCAAGGUUCCUGGACUUUUAAAGAGGCUAAGGAUGGGGCCUGCCAGGUACAGGAUGGCCCAUGCAGGUGGAGAUGCAGCCACAGGAUACCUGGGAUUCAUUGCAGCCUCGUCACUUACCAGUGUUGGCACUGUAUCGGUUAUCCCGAAUUUAACAGCCUAAAGCCACAUUCGUCAUCUUAUACUCUGUGGGGGUAGGGAAUCCAGGAGUGGAUUCACCAGGAGGUUCUGGCUGGGUGUCUCCCCGGAGCCGCAGGCGAGUGUGGGCCGUGGCAGCCAUCCCUGUUUCCAAGUGCACCAUGUGGCAGUUGGCUUGAGGCUCCAGGUCCUUGAGGUGCAGGCUUCCCCACGGGGCUGCUCGCGGCAUGGCUUCCUCACCCAGAGUGAUGGAUCCGAGAGAGAGCAGCCAAACUGAAAGCCACAGCCUUUUGUAAGCAAACCUCAGAAGUGACAUCUCGUCACAUCUGCCAUAUUCUACUGGUCGCACAGACCUAUCCUGCUACAUGGAAGGAGCAGCAGGAAGGUGGUGGGGAUUGCUGGGACCAUCUUGGAGGCUGCCACAGACAUCCAAGCCCCUCCAGGCAGGACAAACCAGGAUGAGAGGACAGUGUCGGGUGUAGCUGCCACCACCCAGUGUCGUCCAAGGAAAAUGGAGCAACCACAUCCUGCAUGGCAACACCAGGUGGCCAAGCCAGAUCGUGUGACCACUCGACGCUUCCCACCCACAGCAAAGAGGAGUGCAGGCUCUGCUGAUUCUCACGCACGUACAAGAAAGACUUCUUUUCGGUAAAGAAAGGAAGGAAAGCG
RNAcentral lists this long non-coding RNA (1970 nucleotides) under Homo sapiens (human). RNAcentral describes it as "non-protein coding lnc-PPP2R2C-1:2". Lineage: Eukaryota; Metazoa; Chordata; Mammalia; Primates; Hominidae. The record is from RNAcentral.